Molecule: ribosomal RNA, 502 nt
Filed under: uncultured Lachnospiraceae bacterium
Lineage: Bacteria; Bacillati; Bacillota; Clostridia; Lachnospirales; Lachnospiraceae
Description: partial 16S ribosomal RNA
Source: RNAcentral
CACGUAUUUAGCCGGUGCUUCUUAGUCAGGUACCGUCAUUGUUCUUCCCUGCUGAUAGGGCUUUACAUACCGAAAUACUCCUUCACCCACGCGGCGUCGCUGCAUCAGGGUCCCCCCCAUUGUGCAAUAUUCCCCACUGCUGCCUCCCGUAGGAGUUUGGGCCGUGUCUCAGUCCCAAUGUGGCCGGUUGCCCUCUCAGGCCGGCUACUGAUCGUCGGUUUGGUGGGCCGUUACCCCGCCAACUGCCUAAUCAGACGCGGGCCCAUCCCAUACCGCGAAAGCUUUCCAUCCAGGGGCAUGCGCCCCCGCAUGUGCAUGCGGUAUUAGCAGCCGUUUCCGGCUGUUAUCCCCCUGUAUGGGGCAGGUUACCCACGCGUUACUCACCCGUCCGCCACUCAGUCACGCGGCCUUCCACCCCGGAGGGCUUCCGUCCCCGUGCUUCGUUCGACUUGCAUGUGUUAAGCACGCCGCCAGCGUUCAUCCUGAGCCAGGAUCAAACUCU